GUAGGUGGCAAGCGUUAUCCGGAAUUAUUGGGCGUAAAGCGCGCGUAGGCGGUUUUUUAAGUCUGAUGUGAAAGCCCACGGCUCAACCGUGGAGGGUCAUUGGAAACUGGAAAACUUGAGUGCAGAAGAGGAAAGUGGAAUUCCAUGUGUAGCGGUGAAAUGCGCAGAGAUAUGGAGGAACACCAGUGGCGAAGGCGACUUUCUGGUCUGUAACUGACGCUGAUGUGCGAAAGCGUGGGGGAUCAGACAGGAUUAGAUACCCUGGUAGUCCACGCCGUAAACGAUGAGUGCUAAGUGUUAGGGGGUUUCCGCCCCCCCCUUAGUGCUGCAGCUAACGCAUUAAGCACUCCGCCUGGGAGUACGACCGCAAGGUUG
RNAcentral lists this ribosomal RNA (375 nucleotides) under uncultured organism. Its description in RNAcentral is "partial 16S ribosomal RNA". It matches the Rfam family "Bacterial small subunit ribosomal RNA", at positions 527 to 896 of the family's 1533-position model. The record is from RNAcentral.